AGUGAGUUAGUCCAAAAUAAGACCUCUGAUUUCGACUCAGAAAAUCGUGGUUAAAAUCCACGACUCCCUU
RNAcentral lists this transfer RNA (70 nucleotides) under Enteromius trimaculatus (threespot barb). RNAcentral describes it as "tRNA-Arg". It matches the Rfam family "tRNA". Rfam says of the family: Transfer RNA (tRNA) molecules are approximately 80 nucleotides in length. Their secondary structure includes four short double-helical elements and three loops (D, anti-codon, and T loops). Further hydrogen bonds mediate the characteristic L-shaped molecular structure. tRNAs have two regions of fundamental functional importance: the anti-codon, which is responsible for specific mRNA codon recognition, and the 3' end, to which the tRNAs corresponding amino acid is attached (by aminoacyl-tRNA synthetases). tRNAs cope with the degeneracy of the genetic code in two manners: having more than one tRNA (with a specific anti-codon) for a particular amino acid; and 'wobble' base-pairing, i.e. permitting non-standard base-pairing at the 3rd anti-codon position. Lineage: Eukaryota; Metazoa; Chordata; Actinopteri; Cypriniformes; Cyprinidae. The record is from RNAcentral.